CGGUGGAGCAUGUGUUUAAUUCGAAGCAACGCGAAGUAACCUUACCAGGUCUUGACAUCCCGAUGCUAUUUCUAGAGAUAGAAAGUUACUUCGGUACAUCGGUGACAGGUGGUGCAUGGUUGUCGUCAGCUCGUGCCGUGAGGUGUCGGGUUAAGUCCCAUAACGAGCGCAACCCUUAUCGUUAGUUGCCAUCUGGCAAUGCAGGGGACUCUAGCGAAACUGCCACCGUAAGGUGAGAGGAAGGUGGGGAUGACGUCAAAUCAGCACGGCCCUUAUGUCCAGGGCUACACACGUGUUACAAUGGUCGGUACAGAGGGCAGCUACCUGGUGACAGGAUGCUAAUCUCGAAAACCGGUCUCAGUUCGGAUCGAAGUCUGCAACUCGACUGCGUGAAGUCGGAAUCGCUAGUAAUCGUGGAUCAGCAUGUCACGGUGAAUACGUUCCCGGGUCUU
Molecule: ribosomal RNA, 452 nt
Filed under: uncultured Sphingobacteriales bacterium
Lineage: Bacteria; Pseudomonadati; Bacteroidota; Sphingobacteriia; Sphingobacteriales
Description: bacterial SSU rRNA
Rfam family: Bacterial small subunit ribosomal RNA
Source: RNAcentral